Molecule: long non-coding RNA, 381 nt
Organism: Lucilia sericata (common green bottle fly)
Lineage: Eukaryota; Metazoa; Arthropoda; Insecta; Diptera; Calliphoridae
Exons: 5
Source: RefSeq, a predicted model, not a curated record
UACAUAUUUGUAUGUAUAAGCGCUUUAUUAAAUGUUUUAUAUUAAAAUGCGUCUUUUAAAAAAAGUGUGUUUUCCAACAAAGUUCUGCUUGUGCAUGUUUUUCCUAAAUGAGUGCAAUUGUUUUUGUUUUGUUGUUUUUCUCGAUAAUGAGUGUUGAUUAAAAAAAUGAGUGAAAUGUUAUUGUUUUCUUCGUUUUUAUCACUGUUUAUAACAGUGGCAUUGCAAAUAUAAGUUCAGACAGUGACGUCAUCACAUUCUAAAAGGAAGUGACGUCAUCAAAAUUUAAAAGACAGUGACAUCAUCAAAAUUUAAAAGACAGUGACAUCAUCAAAAUUUAAAAGCAUGUCAGCAGCUUUAAAGUUAAAGAAAUUGUGGCAGUAG